RNAcentral lists this ribosomal RNA (368 nucleotides) under fungal sp. RNAcentral's name for it is "partial small subunit ribosomal RNA". It matches the Rfam family "Eukaryotic small subunit ribosomal RNA", at positions 582 to 975 of the family's 1831-position model. Lineage: Eukaryota; Fungi. The record is from RNAcentral.
AUUCCAGCUCCAAUAGCGCAUAUUAAAGUUGUUGCAGUUAAAACGCUCGUAGUCGAAUUUCGGAUGUGAUUUGAUGGUAGAUCUUAUGAUCUUACUUUUUAAUUGUGUCCUUACUUUUGGAGGAGCACUUGUGCUAAACCAGAACAUUUACUUUGAGGAAAUUAGAGUGUUCAAAGCAGGCAAUUGCUUGAAUAUCGCAGCAUGGAAUAAUAGAAUAGGACUUUGGUUUUAUUUUAUUGGUUUUGAAGACCAAAGUAAUGAUGAAUAGGGGCAGUCGUGGGCAUUAGUAUUUUGAAGUCAGAGGUGAAAUUCUUGGAUUUUCAAAAGACUAACUAAAGCGAAAGCAUUUGCCAAGGAUGUUUUCAUUA